This is a long non-coding RNA of Leguminivora glycinivorella, 1363 nucleotides long. RefSeq lists it as uncharacterized. The record is from RefSeq and is a predicted model, not a curated record. Lineage: Eukaryota; Metazoa; Arthropoda; Insecta; Lepidoptera; Tortricidae. The transcript is spliced from 4 exons.
GGUUGUCCUGACGUGAAUUUCAUACAACUUUAUUGACAUGAUAUCUCGUCAUACAUAGCUUGUAUGAACUUCAAACCUUGACGUGUAGUUAGUUACUUAUGCAUAUAUCUCGCAUAAUUCUACAGAAAUACCAGUUACUCUUUAAUAUUAAUUAAUAUCUCAUUUGAAAAAAUGGGAAAAUUGUAGUCGAUAGCUUGUUUGUGUGCGUGACCAUGCGUGACCUUACACUGUCCGUGUAAAGCAACAUGGCGAAGUCAAGUUUAAUCAUAGCGAACACAGAUGUCAUCUUAACACAGGUAACCUAACUAUUUAGUAACAAAUUUCCUCAAUAGGUGGCUACGGAUAAAAUUAUCUCAUUACAAAAUAGUGAAACAUAUUUUACAUUGCAAAAAUACUCCAGUAAAAUUGGAACCAUUCAUUCGUACAAGUAACUAUGUAAUCGGAUGUCAGGUAAGAUUUGCUUCUUUGAUAGUUUCCCGGAAUCUUUUUUAAUCACUAACCAGUUUAAGACCUAGAUUAUAUGUAAUAAAUUUACAAGAUUAAAAUUAAAAUGAAAGAUUAUAUAUAUUUUUAACGCAUUAUCAUUGAUUUAUUUACUGAACUAAAAGAUUAAAAUAUUUAUAGGAGCAUUAUCAUUACCUCAUUACAUAAUAAUUGUGUCCGGGAACGUGCGGAGGGCACUUUAUUUGCCAUAGACAACUUAUGCAUUUUUCUGCAUUUAUUUUUUCCUACUACCGCUUGAUUUUGUUUCCGUUUAUGUCAAAAGUGUCAAAACAGUUUCAAAAUAUUGUAAAUUUAUUGCAAAUAAUCUCAGACAUUUAGUUGAAGUGUUAUUUGUUCUUUGUUAUAUAACGGAGAAACGGAGGGUGGAAUUUUUUGUAUAAUAAUUGUAUAUAGAUUAUAGAUUUGUCUGGUCAAUUAGUUUGCCCCGAACACCGCUAUGGGCAGAACCACAAAGCGGCGUACAAAAAACAUACGUAAACGACGUAAAGUAGGUACAAGCUGCCUUACAAUAUCACUAUCACCAUAGCACCAAAUCGAAAAACCUGGCUUGGCGAAAUGUUUUGUAUUACUGCUGAAACGUCAAACGGUUCAACGAAUGCAGACUGAUCAUCAAGCACAAACGUCGGUGUCAGAUGUCCAUAACGGACGUGUACUCCCAAAGGACACGAGGCAGCAUACAAAUCAAUAAAAAUAAUUUGUAUAUAAAUGCAGUAAAUAUAAUAUUGAUGUUUUUAAGUAUACUACAAACCAUGUAGGUAUGUUCGUCUUCAGUAAAGAUGGUGCUUUUUUUACGCACUAGUGCGAGAAGUUAUUCAUUAUUUAUAUGGCAGGUUGAAACUCCGGAGGUCCAUCUGUACUG